AGUGGGGAAUAUUGCACAAUGGGCGCAAGCCUGAUGCAGCCAUGCCGCGUGUAUGAAGAAGGCCUUCGGGUUGUAAAGUACUUUCAGCGAGGAGGAAGGCAGUCGUGUUAAUAGCACGAUUGAUUGACGUUACUCGCAGAAGAAGCACCGGCUAACUCCGUGCCAGCAGCCGCGGUAAUACGGAGGGUGCAAGCGUUAAUCGGAAUUACUGGGCGUAAAGCGCACGCAGGCGGUCUGUCAAGUCGGAUGUGAAAUCCCCGGGCUCAACCCGGGAACUGCAUUCGAAACUGGCAGGCUAGAGUCUUGUAGAGGGGGGUAGAAUUCCAGGUGUAGCGGUGAAAUGCGUAGAGAUCUGGAGGAAUACCGGUGGCGAAGGCGGCCCCCUGGACAAAGACUGACGCUCAGGUGCGAAAGCGUGGGGAGCAAA
This 427-nucleotide ribosomal RNA is filed under the name uncultured Tatumella sp. Its description in RNAcentral is "bacterial SSU rRNA". It matches the Rfam family "Bacterial small subunit ribosomal RNA", at positions 353 to 772 of the family's 1533-position model. Lineage: Bacteria; Pseudomonadati; Pseudomonadota; Gammaproteobacteria; Enterobacterales; Erwiniaceae. The record is from RNAcentral.